Molecule: ribosomal RNA, 436 nt
Filed under: uncultured bacterium
Lineage: Bacteria
Description: bacterial SSU rRNA
Rfam family: Bacterial small subunit ribosomal RNA
Source: RNAcentral
UAGGGCGCAAGCCUGAUGCAGCCAUGCCGCGUGUAUGAAGUAAGGCCUUACGGGUUGUUAAAGACUUUCAGCAGUGAGGAAGGUGGGUAUGUUAAUAGCAUACUCAUUUGACGUUAGCUGCAGAAGAAGCACCGGCUAACUCCGUGCCAGCAGCCGCGGUAAUACGGAGGGUGCGAGCGUUAAUCGGAAUUACUGGGCGUAAAGCGCAUGCAGGUGGUUUGUUAAGUCAGAUGUGAAAGCCCGGGGCUCAACCUCGGAAUUGCAUUUGAAACUGGCAAACUAGAGUACUGGUAGAGGGGGUAGAAUUUCAGGUGUAGCGGUGAAAUGCGUAGAGAUCUGAAGGAAUACCCGGUGGCGAACGGCGGCCCCCCUGGACAGAUACUGACACUCAGAUGCGAAAGCGUGGGGAAGCAAACAGGAUUAGAUACCCUGGUAG